GCGCCCGUAGCUCAAUUGGAUAGAGCGCCGGACUACGAAUCCGAAGGCUACCCGUUCGAGCCGGGUCGGGCGCG
This 74-nucleotide transfer RNA is filed under the name Pseudomonadota bacterium. RNAcentral's name for it is "tRNA-Arg". It matches the Rfam family "tRNA". Rfam says of the family: Transfer RNA (tRNA) molecules are approximately 80 nucleotides in length. Lineage: Bacteria; Pseudomonadati; Pseudomonadota. The record is from RNAcentral. RNAcentral also lists the same sequence under 1 other name.